This 255-nucleotide ribosomal RNA is filed under the name uncultured bacterium. Its description in RNAcentral is "partial 16S ribosomal RNA". It matches the Rfam family "Bacterial small subunit ribosomal RNA", at positions 524 to 776 of the family's 1533-position model. The record is from RNAcentral.
UACGUAGGGGGCAAGCGUUUGUCCGGAAUCAUUGGGCGUAAAGAGCGUGUAGGCGGCCCGGUAAGUCCGCUGUGAAAGUCCAGGGCUCAACCCUGGAAUGCCGGUGGAAACUGUCGGGCUAGAGUCCGGAAGAGGCGAGUGGAAUUCCUGGUGUAGCGGUGAAAUGCGCAGAUAUCAGGAGGAACACCAAUGGCGAAGGCAGCUCGCUGGGACGGUACUGACGCUGAGACGCGAAAGCGUGGGGGAGCAAACAGG